This 75-nucleotide antisense RNA is filed under the name Allokutzneria albata. RNAcentral describes it as "Kibdelosporangium albatum ASpks TB sRNA". It matches the Rfam family "ASpks TB sRNA". Lineage: Bacteria; Bacillati; Actinomycetota; Actinomycetes; Pseudonocardiales; Pseudonocardiaceae. The record is from Rfam by way of RNAcentral.
CUUCAGGGAGCCCAGGUACAGCGGCUUGUCCGCCGUGUGCUCCUGGCCGUAGGUGUUCAGCAGCGCCUGGGCCUC